RNAcentral lists this ribosomal RNA (490 nucleotides) under uncultured bacterium. RNAcentral describes it as "bacterial SSU rRNA". It matches the Rfam family "Bacterial small subunit ribosomal RNA", at positions 23 to 507 of the family's 1533-position model. The record is from RNAcentral.
CUCAGGACGAACGCUGGCGGCAUGCCUAACACAUGCAAGUCGAACGGAGUUACUUAACUAGAUCCCUUCGGGGUGACGGUUACUUAACUUAGUGGCGGACGGGUGAGUAACGCGUGAGGAACCUGCCUUUCAGAGGGGGAUAACGUUUGGAAACGAACGCUAAUACCGCAUAACACAAUCGAGUGGCAUCGCUUGAUUGUCAAAGGAGCAAUCCACUGAAAGAUGGCCUCGCGUCUGAUUAGAUAGUUGGCGGGGUAACGGCCCACCAAGUCGACGAUCAGUAGCCGGACUGAGAGGUUGAACGGCCACAUUGGGACUGAGACACGGCCCAGACUCCUACGGGAGGCAGCAGUGGGGGAUAUUGCACAAUGGGCGAAAGCCUGAUGCAGCAAUGCCGCGUGAGGGAAGAAGGUUUUCGGAUUGUAAACCUCUGUCCCUGAUGACGAAGACAGUGACGGUAAUCAGGGAGGAAGCCACGGCUAACUACGUG